UACGAGGGGGCAAGCGUUGUUCGGAAUUAUUGGGCGUAAAGGGUGCGUAGGCGGUUUGUAAGUCUUGUGUGAAAUCUUCAGGCUCAACUUGAAGACUGCACGAGAAACUGCAGGGCUUGAGUGUGGGAGAGGUGAGUGGAAUUCCUGGUGUAGCGGUGAAAUGCGCAGAUAUCAGGAGGAACACCGGUGGUGUAGACGGCUU
RNAcentral lists this ribosomal RNA (202 nucleotides) under uncultured bacterium. RNAcentral's name for it is "partial 16S ribosomal RNA". It matches the Rfam family "Bacterial small subunit ribosomal RNA", at positions 524 to 727 of the family's 1533-position model. The record is from RNAcentral.